Molecule: transfer RNA, 127 nt
Filed under: Exutisphaerella laricina CBS 326.52
Lineage: Eukaryota; Fungi; Ascomycota; Dothideomycetes; Mycosphaerellales; Mycosphaerellaceae
Description: tRNA-Pro (CGG) (tRNA-Pro-CGG-1-1)
Source: RNAcentral
GGCUCAAUGGUCUAGUGGUAUGAUUGUCGCUUCGGGUGUGACAGGCCCCGGGUUGUAAGUGUACCCACCAGCUAGCAUGUGUAAUGACUUGGAGCUAAUGCAAAUACAGCAAAUCCCGGUUGAGCCC